GAUGAACGCUGGCGGCGUGCCUAAUACAUGCAAGUCGAGCGAAUGGAUUAAGAGCUUGCUCUUAUGAAGUUAGCGGCGGACGGGUGGGUAACACGUGGGUAACCUGCCCAUAAGACUGGGAUAACUCCGGGAAACAGGGGCUAAUACCGGAUAAAAUUUUGAACCGCAUGGUUCGAAAUUGAAAGGCGGCUUCGGCUGUCACUUAUGGAUGGACCCGCGUCGCAUUAGCUAGUUGGUGAGGUAACGGCUCACCAAGGCAACGAUGCGUAGCCGACCUGAGAGGGUGAUCGGCCACACUGGGACUGAGACACGGCCCAGACUCCUACGGGAGGCAGCAGUAGGGAAUCUUCCGCAAUGGACGAAAGUCUGACGGAGCAACGCCGCGUGAGUGAUGAAGGCUUUCGGGUCGUAAAACUCUGUUGUUAGGGAAGAACAAGUGCUAGUUGAAUAAGCUGACACCUUGACGGUACCUAACCAGAAAGCCACGGCUAACUACGUGCCAGCAGCCGCGGUAA
RNAcentral lists this ribosomal RNA (515 nucleotides) under uncultured bacterium. Its description in RNAcentral is "partial 16S ribosomal RNA". It matches the Rfam family "Bacterial small subunit ribosomal RNA", at positions 28 to 523 of the family's 1533-position model. The record is from RNAcentral.